CCCUUAGAUGUUCUGGGCAGCACGCGCGCUACAAUGGUCUUCGCAAACGGAUGCAUUCUCGAAGGAGAAUGCCAAUCUUGGAAUCUAUGCCUUGGUCGGGACAGUUGCUUGCAAUUUUUCGACUCGAACCAGGAAUUCCUUGUAAUCGUGAUUCAUCACAUCACGAUGAAUACGUCCCUGCCCUUUGUACACACCGCCCGUCGCUCCUACCGAUCGAAGAGUUAGGUGAAUUGUUUUGAUCGAUAAGAUUUGACUAUGGUCAACUCUCGUUGUGAAAUUCUGUGAAUCUGACUGUUUAGAGGAAGGAAAAGUCGUANCA
This 319-nucleotide ribosomal RNA is filed under the name uncultured eukaryote. Its description in RNAcentral is "partial 18S ribosomal RNA". It matches the Rfam family "Eukaryotic small subunit ribosomal RNA", at positions 1470 to 1796 of the family's 1831-position model. The record is from RNAcentral.